UAAAGCGUAAAAGAGCGUAGAGUGAAUGCCUUGGCAUUGGGAGCCGACGAAGGACGUGGUUAACUGCGAAAAGCUACGGGGAGUCGUAAGCAGACAUUGAUCCGUAGAUGUCCGAAUGGAGCAAUCCGCAUGGAGUUAGUCUAUGCAUCCAUAAGUGAAUUCAUAGCUUAUGGAGGGGAACCGCCUGAACUGAAACAUCUAAGUAGGGCGAGGAAGAGAAAUCAAACGAGAUUUCGUAAGUAGUGGCGAGCGAACGCGAAAGAGGCUAAACCAAGAGAAGAAAUUCUUUUGGGGUUACGGACUGCGAUAUGUAUCUGAGGACUUAGCAGAAUGGUAUGGGAAAGCCAACCAGAGAAUGUGAUAGUCAUGUAUGCGAAAAGGAAUCAGAGCUAGAAGGAUCCAAAGUACCGCGGGACACGAGGAAUCCCGUGGGAAGUCGGGGGGACCACCCUCCAAGCCUAAAUACUACCCAAUGACCGAUAGCGAAAAGUACUGUGAAGGAACGGUGAAAAGAACCCCGGGAGGGGAGUGAAAAGAACCUGAAACUCUAUGCUUACAAGCACAUAGAGCACGUCAAAGUGUGAUAUGGUACCUUUUGUAGAAUGGUCCGGCGAGUUAUUGUAUGCAGCAAGGUUAAGGUCUUCAGGACUGAAGCCGAAGCGAGAGCGAGUCUGACAAGGGCGAUAAGUUGCAUGCAAUAGACCCGAAACCGGGUGACCUAGCCAUGUUCAGGUUGAAGUGGAGGUAAAGCUCCAUGGAGGACCGAACCGACCUCCGUUGAAAAGGCGGCGGAUGAAAUGUGGCUAGCGGAGAAAUUCCAAUCGAACCCGGAAAUAGCUGGUUCUCCCCGAAAUAGCUUUAGGGCUAGCGUUGUAUUAGAUUUCUGGGGGUAAAGCACUGAAUAGGCUAGGGGCCGAGAGGUUACUGAACCUUAUCAAACUAAGAAUACCAGAAAAUUGAUGUACAGCAGUCAGACUAUGUGAGAUAAGUCUCAUAGUCAAAAGGGAAACAGCCCAGACCCACAGCUAAGGUCCCAAAACAGAUUUAAGUGGAAAAGGAUGUGGGAUUGCCCAGACAACCAGGAUGUUGGCUUAGAAGCAGCCACACAUUAAAAGAGUGCGUAAUAGCUCACUGGUCGAGUGAUCCUGCGCCGAAAAUUCAACGGGGCUAAAAUUUGUACCGAAGCUUGGGCUUGAUACAUUCGUAUCAGGGGUAGGGGAGCGUCAUGUAUGAGGUGAAGUCAUAGCGGAAGCGGUGGUGGAUUGUACAUGAGAGAGAAUGCCGGAAUGAGUAGCGAGAAUUAUGUGAGAAUCAUAAUGGCCGAAAAUCUAAGGUUUCCUGAGGAAGGUUCGUCCGCUCAGGGUAAGCCGGGAGCUAAGGUGAGGCGGAAACGCGUAGCCGAUGCACAUACGGUAGAGAUUCCGUAGCCUCCGAAAAGUAAAGCACAGGGACGCUUCAGAAGUGUUACGCCGGGCGAUGGUUGCCCCGGUUGUAAAGGACACAAUUGAGUGGAAGGUAACAUGGAUGGAGACAAGAAAAGCUGUGUGUAUCUGGAAGGAGCCCGUACCGCAAACCGACACAGGUAGAUAGGAAGAAGAUUCUAAGGCCAGCGGGAGAAGGGUUGUUAAGGAACUCGGCAAGUUGACCCCGUAACUUCGGGAGAAGGGGUGCUUACGAAGGUAAGCCGCAGAGAAUAGGCCCAAGCGACUGUUUAGCAAAAACACAGCUCUAUGCUAAAUCGAAAGAUGACGUAUAUGGGGUGACACCUGCCCGGUGCUGGAAGGUUAAGAGGAGAUGUGAGAGCAUUGAAUUGAAGCCCCAGUAAACGGCGGCCGUAACUAUAACGGUCCUAAGGUAGCGAAAUUCCUUGUCAGGUAAGUUCUGACCCGCACGAAUGGUGUAACGAUUUGGGCACUGUCUCAACAACCUACCCGGCGAAAUUGUAGUACCGGUGAAGAUGCCGGUUACCCGCGACUAGACGGAAAGACCCCAUGGAGCUUCACUGUAGCUUAAUAUUGAAUUUUGGUAUUUCAUGUACAGGAUAGGUGGGAGACUGGGAAAUACAGGCGUCAGCUUGUAUGGAGUCACUGUUGGGAUACCACUCUUGAGGUGCUGAAAUUCUAACCUGCGUCUUUGAAUCAAGACGGGGGACAUUGUUAGGUGGGCAGUUUGACUGGGGCGGUCGCCUCCAAAAGAGUAACGGAGGCGCUCAA
This 2213-nucleotide ribosomal RNA is filed under the name human gut metagenome. Its description in RNAcentral is "bacterial LSU rRNA". It matches the Rfam family "Bacterial large subunit ribosomal RNA", at positions 1 to 2313 of the family's 2925-position model. The record is from RNAcentral.